This 275-nucleotide ribosomal RNA is filed under the name uncultured bacterium. RNAcentral's name for it is "partial 16S ribosomal RNA". It matches the Rfam family "Bacterial small subunit ribosomal RNA", at positions 338 to 606 of the family's 1533-position model. The record is from RNAcentral.
CCUACGGGUGGCUGCAGUAGGGAAUCUUGCGCAAUGGGCGAAAGCCUGACGCAGCGACGCCGCGUGAGUGAUGAAGGCCUUCGGGUUGUAAAGCUCUGUGGGGAGAGAAGAAUAAGUGCUGGUUAACACCUUGCAUGAUGACGGUAUCUCCUUAGCAAGCACCGGCUAACUCUGUGCCAGCAGCCGCGGUAAGACAGAGGGUGCAAACGUUGUUCGGAAUCACUGGGCGUAAAGCGCGUGUAGGCGGCUUCUCAAGUCGGGUGUGAAAUCCCAGG